This is a ribosomal RNA of Trichinella zimbabwensis, 113 nucleotides long. The record is from Rfam. Lineage: Eukaryota; Metazoa; Nematoda; Enoplea; Trichinellida; Trichinellidae.
GCUAAUAUGUACUACGUUGAAAGCACCGCAUCCCGCCUGAUCUGCGAAGUUAAGCAUCUUUGGGCUGUGUUUAGUAACUGAAUGGGAUCCGGGAACGCACAGUGUCGUAAGUC